Macaca mulatta (Rhesus monkey) is the source of this 148-nucleotide unclassified non-coding RNA. It matches the Rfam family "Metazoan signal recognition particle RNA". From Rfam's summary of the family: The signal recognition particle (SRP) is a universally conserved ribonucleoprotein. It is involved in the co-translational targeting of proteins to membranes. Lineage: Eukaryota; Metazoa; Chordata; Mammalia; Primates; Cercopithecidae. The record is from Ensembl.
GCCGGGUAUGGUGGCGGGUGCCUGUAAUCCUAGCUACUUGGGAGGCUGAGGCUGGAGAAUCACUUGAACCCAGGAGGCGGAGGUUGCAGUGAGCCAAGAUCACGCCACUGCAAUCCAGCCUGGGUGACAGAGUGAGACUCCAUCUCAA